RNAcentral lists this ribosomal RNA (253 nucleotides) under uncultured bacterium. RNAcentral describes it as "partial 16S ribosomal RNA". It matches the Rfam family "Bacterial small subunit ribosomal RNA", at positions 524 to 776 of the family's 1533-position model. The record is from RNAcentral.
UACGUAGGGCGCGAGCGUUGUCCGGAAUUAUUGGGCGUAAAGAGCUCGUAGGCGGCUUGUCGCGUCGACUGUGAAAUCCCGCGGCUCAACUGCGGGUCUGCAGUCGAUACGGGCAGGCUAGAGUUCGGUAGGGGAGACUGGAAUUCCUGGUGUAGCGGUGAAAUGCGCAGAUAUCAGGAGGAACACCGGUGGCGAAGGCGGGUCUCUGGGCCGAUACUGACGCUGAGGAGCGAAAGCGUGGGGAGCGAACAGG